This 1380-nucleotide long non-coding RNA is filed under the name Zostera marina. RNAcentral describes it as "long non-coding RNA (ZMAR_LNC006160)". Lineage: Eukaryota; Viridiplantae; Streptophyta; Magnoliopsida; Alismatales; Zosteraceae. The record is from RNAcentral.
AAACUCCACGUACUACCUAACUCGAUCGGCGUCUAUGUACUCGUCUUCUCCGAUCAAUCAUCAAUUUCUCCAUCCACGACGACCACCUGGUUGGUAUGCAUAGGGAAGCUAGGAUUGAUUUGAUCGAUCUCAAUAUUAAGUAGCUUCACCAGAUCGAAGACACGAAGAUAUCGGAAAGAGAAGUGGGUCCUGUCGGUCAGAUCUCGGGAUAAAACAUAGCUGGCCGGAACGUAUAAUAUGUUGGAAAUGAAGACAGUGAUCACUGAUCAGAUUUAAUCCAGCAGCAAAAAGACUAAUGAUGAUUUAUUUACGUACAGUACAGAUCCACUAAUUAAACUGAUUUAGGUUUGUUUGGUUUUUUAUUUUGGCAAUAUUUACAAGAUCGCCAAACAGAUUAUCAUGGAGUCUUGCUGGCUUCAACUGGGUCCGCGACAGUGUAUUCAUCUGACUGUAAUGGUUUAUAUGGGAAAGAUCAGCUUGAGUACUGGGAAAUGGAUAUCCAGAUCUCAUCAUGGUUUGUACCUGCAUACCUGCAAUCUUCCUACCGUCAUCAUCCAUUUCUAUAUGGUUUUUACUGCUUAAUUAGACUCAGACUUAUACAUACCUGCAGCUACAGGUUCUUUACCACUCUGCAUGGACUGAUGACAAGUCUGGAGGUUUGAUAGUUGGGGAUUUACUACGAUCAAUUGUGGUUCAAUUUCCUCUGUUGAUUGUAUUUCCCAAGGGGGGAGGGGUAAAGCUUCUUCAGUCUGUUCAAUAUUUAUGCCUGCAUAAUAUCAAGAAAAAUACCAACUAUGUAUUAAACAAUAAGAAGCAAUUUUUUGUUUUUUUUUGUUUUGCCACAGCUAAACCUACAAAUGGCUAAUAUAUCAUUUUACACGAACACUUUACAGACUUACGGCCAAACCUAAUAUAUGAUGGAGUAAGCAGUAACACCUCGAAAAUCACACUUUCUGGCAUGGAUUGGGUAUAUUUUAAUCUAACAAUUGAUUCUCUAUUAAAAUCUAUUAUAUUUUAAUGCAUGGACGUCAUGAUGUUGCGCAGUUAAAUAGGGACAUGAGUCAAUGAACUCUAUCUGUCACUUGUCAGGGACUCAGGACAUAUAUACUAUAAAAUUAUUGGCAAUAAUAAAUAGGUGGAUUGUGUAUUUAUCUAUUUCAAGGAGGAUAUGAAGAUUUCUGCCUUCUGUCCUGAUUGGUAAUUUCACUAAUUUGGUAUGUGGAAUAUGGUAUGCUGCCUGAUAACAAUAUUUUUACCAUUCAAAAAACAAUAUUGCGACAACAAGGAUAGCUUGAUAAAUGUAAGAUGAUAUUGUGCAUUUGUUCAUGUUUGAGAUUAUGAGGAAUGAAGGUUUAAUGGUUUAACAUGUGAACAGAUAAA